This 460-nucleotide ribosomal RNA is filed under the name uncultured bacterium. Its description in RNAcentral is "partial 16S ribosomal RNA". It matches the Rfam family "Bacterial small subunit ribosomal RNA", at positions 338 to 795 of the family's 1533-position model. The record is from RNAcentral.
CCUACGGGAGGCAGCAGUGAGGAAUAUUGGUCAAUGGGCGUAAGCCUGAACCAGCCAAGUCGCGUGAGGGAUGAAGGUUCUAUGGAUCGUAAACCUCUUUUAUAAGGGAGUAAAGUGUGGGACGUGUCCUGUUUUGUAUUUACCUUAUGAAUAAGGAUCGGCUAACUCCGUGCCAGCAGCCGCGGUAAUACGGAGGAGCCGAGCGUUAUCCGGAUUUAUUGGGUUUAAAGGGUGCGUUGGAGGUCUUUUAAGUCAGCGGUGAAAGUCUUUGGGUCAACCAUAGAAGUGCCGUGGAAACUGGGAGGCUUGAGUAUGGUAGAGGGAGGCGGAAUGCGUGGUGUAGCGGUGAAAUGCAUAGAUAGCACGCAGAACCCCGAUUGCGAAGGCAGCCUGCCAAGCCAUGACUGACGCUGAGGCACGAAAGCGUGGGGAUCAAACAGGAUUAGAUACCCGUGUAGUC